UAAAUGAGAAACUCGUAAAUACUCGCUUCUGUUAGUUACAGCACGCAGUUUUUACUUCCUCCUGAAAAGUUACUUCUUUUACACCUACGAGGUUUUCACUCUAAGCUCGUUAUGUCAUAUUGUAAUAAUACAUACAUUUUCGACCUGGUGCUGUGUGCCUAGGUGCUGAACCGUGAUCGUUACAUAUUAUGUAUCUAAUAUCUAUAAAACUACGACACUCUUAUUUGUAGAGUGCUCUGUUUUCUAAUUUCUUGCGUUUUGUAUCAUCUGUCUUAGGGCCAUAGCAGAUACGAUACGAUACGAGUUUUUAGCAUCAGCAAUCGGUGUUUAGUUGCUAUACAGAAACUUAAUGCCGCGAUUGAACGCUUUGCUCCGCAUACAAACGAUCUCCAGUCGCAGCGAAUAAAUCGAUUUUAUUUAUUAAUUCAUAUCAAUUUAUCAAUACAGCUAUCGAACGCAGACAGUGGUCAAAGCCUCGAUAGCUCAACGGUUGAGAAGCGGACUGAAUUCCGAAAGGUCGGCGGUUCAAACCCCACCCGUUGCACUAUUGUCGCACCCACUCCUGACACAAGCUUUACGCUUAAUUGGAGUGGAAAGGGGAGUAUUAGUCAUGAGUAGCAUGGCUAAAAGCGCAAUGCAAAUAUACUUUUGUUGUAGGUACACCACAAAAUUAAUACAGAAAAACACAUACAAAGCAAAACAAAAAUACAGGCAGGUACUACAAUUUGGCGGCCUUAUCGCUGAGGUACAUACGAUCGAACGUAGAAAGUCGAUAAAACGCGAUACAGCAUCGAUGCAUUUGUCUAAUCGCUAAUCGCUGAUGCUAAAAGCAUUGUUGCUAUAGUCUUCACACAUCCUAAGCAUGAAUUUUAUACGCUUUGUAAUAUUAUUACCUAUAAGACUCACUACGCAUUGAACUAAAUAGCGACUCUUGUUACGACGCAAUAAAGUGCAAUUCAGCUCACACAGCAGUUCGGUCUAAAGUUUUACUAAUGCCUCUCUUUCUAUCGCGUAAACUCGUGCAUCUUUCUCUCUCUUAUGAGGUCGGAGGGGAUUGGGAUCUUGGGUUACGUGAGAAGGUGAGCCUGACAUAGUGCAACUAGAGCAUGUCUACUAAUGUCAUACCCUUUCCAAGUUACCCUGCUUCCAUAUUAGACUGUAUCAUCACUUACCAUCAGGAGAGAUCGCUGUUAAGGGUUAACUUGUAUCAGAAUUAAAAAAAAACCAGAAUCGACUAGUGCUAUCGUUUAUGCCGUCGAUACACAUGCUAGCUACUCGCACAAAAGCAUAAAAGCAGUAACUAGUACUAGCAAAAUUGAGCUACUCGCAUGUGUAUCACGCGCUGACAUUUUGCUAGUACCUGGCAUGCGUGCUUGCGAGCACCUAGCAUGCCAUUCACUGGCAUGUUAUCACAGGCUUUACACGUAUUACCGACUAGUUGCUUUAUAUCUUUGUCAUUUUAUAUUUGUAUGACAAAUCCUACUUGGUUAACUAUGAAGUUAAAUUUUUAGCCAGAAUAUAACAUCAAAAAUAAAUCUACUUAAAUUGUCUAUAAGACUUAAACAAAGAAGAAAAUUCGGCAUCUAUAAAAUAAAUAUGCCCAUUUUUUAUAUUAGGAGACAUAAAUUAAUUUAUAGUAUUUAGAUAAUCCCCAAGGCUGUGCUUUUUAUUUCUUGCUUACCACGACGUCCCAUUUAGAAAUUUCAUAAUUUGGUGAUAUGUAUGCUUAAUUGCUUUUUUUAGGAAUUUGAUGGCUUUUAUAUCAACCACGAUGCUACAAGGCGGUUAAGUUUUUUUAACAUUUCUUGUAAUGUUUAGAGUAUGUAAUAUCCUACGUAUAUAUGAGUUUCUAUUUAUUUUAUUCUUAGCUAAUGCCCAACAUGCUUUGUAAUAAUGACUCUUUCGAUUUGUUUGUAAUUUAUUUGAAUUCGCGCACCACUUAUUGUAUGUCAAUGGUACUGGUACUGAGUUAUGGGAGAAACUUUCACGCAAGUACGUACAACAAUUCAAUCCCGUGUGGACACUUUAAUUUUCCGGGAUAAAACAUAGCUUACAUCCCGGGAGACGGACAUACUAUCUCCCGGGAUGUAGCUCUGUACCUUUUGUCAAAAUCGGUUUAAUGGAUGGGCCGUGAUAGAUGUCAGACAGACACUUUCGCAUUUAUAAUAUUAGUAUGGAUUUAUACAGAUUAUUGUUUAUCUUCUUAUAUUUUACUUUAUUUAUGUUAUAAGUUUAGUUCAAUCUAUCAGAAAUGAAAACAAUUCAGUUACCCUUAAAAGUAUUUGUGAAUUUUAAUUUAAAGAUACUUAUAAUUUACAUGUAUUGUUUUUGUUAGAAAAAUAUAUUAUAGUUUAUUUAUAUAAGGUCGAUUAGGUCGCCGACUCAAAUCGUACUAUUUCCUGCCAUAAUAUUUUUCAUACGUUUUUUAGCUAAUGGGUGCAGUUUGAUAGUAAGGAGGUGAUUUACUUGCGAUUCAAUUUUGCGACCUAAUGGACACUUGACCUAAUACCUUCACUUCAGGAAUUUGUUAAUUUUUUACUUAGUUGCUAACAUUUUACGGAUACUUUGCUUUUAAUACUUAUUACUUACGAUUGUAACACAUCUGUUGGUACUUAAGUUGUACUUAUUUAUAUUUGAACAGAUAAUAUAUUAUAUACAUAUUUAUUUAUUAUUAGAUGAUGCACGCGGCUUCGACCACGUGGGUUUAAAUUUUAUUUUAAAAUCCCCUGGGAACCCUGAUUUUCUGGGAUAAAAAGUAUACUUAAUAUAAUAUUAUUUUAUAUGUCCGUCUUUGGCAUGCAAGCUAUCUCUGUGCCAAAUUUCUCCAAAAUCGGUGAAACAGAUGGGCCGUAAAAAAGGUAACAGACAGACACACUUUCACACUUUAUAAUAUAAAUAUGCGUUGAUGGAUAUAGCAAAGAGAGUUUAGAGAUUUAUAUUAAAUAAUAUAUAAUAAUAUAUUUUAAAAAGUAUUAGCGCCAAUUUUCCUAAACACAACGCAAAAUAUUUGGUACUAUUUUGCUUUUUAAAUCAUAUUAAAUUACCUACGCCCAUCGUAUUUAUUUUAAUUUAAAAGUUAGUAAAAAAUUCAAAUAAGCCUGAAAUACACACGACGGUGACGGAACUAAUAAAAUUUGCAAAAAAAGAGGAAGGAAGGAAGGAUUCUUUAUGAAAGCAUUCACACUUGUUUUACAAACAAUUCGUGUUUGUUUCAGUCUUAAUGAAGGCCCAUUCACACAUAUCAGUGAAAGAACUGUAAAUUCACUUUUGUGUAUGCAUAGGCCUUAACACGUACGUGGGUCAAUCAACUGUUUUACUCGCCCUAACUAAGCGUUAUCUGUUCUGUGAUAAAUAACUUACGUUCUUAGAUUCAAAAAAAACUAUAUUAUAUUAUUUGUUUUGAAUUUUUCACAAGUGAUACCGGGACAAAAAUAUUCUUGUAUGGCACGAGUAUUUCGUAUACUGAGUUACCAUUAAAAUUUGCAUUGAAAUUGGUAACCAAUAAGAUUUACAAUGAAUUUAUUUUAAAUUAGUGUUCAGUUUUUAGUUAGAGAAUAGAGAUAGCAAAGUGUGGGUAAAAUUAGUUGAGUGAUCGACGUUCGGACGUACAUUGUAGGAAGUAGGCACUGAAUUUCCAGUAUUUUUGAAAUCAAAUUUUUUUUUUUGGUCUAACAUUUUAACAACAAAAUGCCCAAAAAUGUCCAGAUAUUAUAGAGGCUAACAAAAUUUGUCGCGCAUUACUUUUUUUUUAUACAUUUAGACCGUACUAUAUAAUGUAAUUUCCAAUUAAAUAUGCUUUUAUCUCUUUUUAGCUCAACCUCGUGAAUACGAUACAUAAAAUUCACUACUUAUAGUCACGUACUUAGAAAGCUUAGUAAUUACCUACUUAUUAAGAACAGGUACUUAAAUGAAACUUUGAACCAACAAAAUAAUACAUAACGUAUUAUAAAUUUUAAUACAGCGUAAUAUUUUUAAAAAGGCAACAUUUACUUUUUUAUGCUGUAUGUAUACUGCCUUAAUUUUGUUAUUUUAAGUAGAUUGAUAUGAUUUUAUACUAACAUGCUGUUAUCACCAAAUCAGCAAUAUUUAAAGUGGCAAUUACUUAGUUUAAUUAGUAUCUUAAAGGCUAUGGUUUCAUUCCUAAUUGUUAAGUAAGUAUAAUAAUUUACAUUUUGUCAUAAUAUAAUAAUAGUCAAAUUUUACAGUUGCUCGAUAUGAAAUAAUGAAACAUGAAACUUGAAAUCAAUGCGAUAAUCUGCCUGUUGGCUUUGGCAUUAAAGACUAACUUAAGUCUUGAAACACACGACGUAUGACGGAACCUAAAGACUUGUGACGUCACACACAGCGCGCUUAUACAAAUUGAAAGCGUAUAAGGGACGUUGUAUUUAUUGCAACAAGUGACUGGAUUAAAGGAGCUCCAACGCGCGUUUUGUAUUGUGAAAAUUUUCAUGUAUAUUCUGUUGUACGCACAUUAAAACUAAAUUGCCGGGUCUAUCAAGUGCUAUCCCUUUCCGUAGAUAGCAUUAUGAAAGCGAUAGCAAUAAAUUUAAACCUGUCAUUUUAGUUUAGAGAUUGCGUACAACAAAAUUAGCCUAAUUGCAACUGAGCCGUGGUUUCGUCGCGCGUCUUGUUUGUUUCGGCCUUUAAAAGUAGCAAAAAUUACUACCAAAUAAUGAUUGCGUCGACCACGUUGUAAAUAGGUGACGUCAAACUUCUUGAGUGCUUUGAAGUUCUUGUUUGUGCUGGUAAAAUAAACACCAAACCCUACCCCGCCCUGCACCGAAUACGCGGUGUAUGCUGCCACUCCCUACCGUCUUUCGGCGGAAAUAGUGUCCCACAAACAACUUGAAUCUGAAGCAGUGUAAUGGGACUUGGGAGAAAGUUGGCGAACCCAAGAAGAAAGGAUCAGCUUAUCAACCUAUGGCGUGCACCCGCGCCGACUGAUCAACCAAUCGGUCUGGCCUACACGUCAAUGUUCAAGUUUUUGCCGAGCACUAUACAGUGUCUAAUGCAACGCUUUUUACCACUACCAGAUUAUUCAAAAAGUUUGGCGUCACCUGUACCAUAUGUGGUUCAUAAUAUAGAACCAGGUACCGAAAUGCAAUACCAGUGUAAGAAUAUCUAAGACGAAAUAUAUCUCUUUAAAAACUUGUUAUUUAUUGAACUGCAUUAUUGUGAUCGUUUUGGACUCUUGUUAUUGUGUAUGUUUAGAUGUAUUUCUCGAAUAUUUUGAACUUGUUGACUGUUUUGUCAUGAUAAUGUAGUUCGAUUUGAAAUUACUUAAAAUAUUGCGACAUUUUUAGAUGGAUGUGACCAAAAAUAUGAAAUAAAAGUUAAUUAAGAUUU
Molecule: long non-coding RNA, 5346 nt
Organism: Maniola jurtina (meadow brown)
Lineage: Eukaryota; Metazoa; Arthropoda; Insecta; Lepidoptera; Nymphalidae
Exons: 2
Source: RefSeq, a predicted model, not a curated record